AUUGAACGCUGGCGGCAUGCCUUACACAUGCAAGUCGAACGGUAACAGGUCUUCGGAUGCUGACGAGUGGCGAACGGGUGAAUAAUACAUCGGAACGUGCCUAGUAGUGGGGGAUAACUACUCGAAAGAGUGGCUAAUACCGCAUGAGAUCUACGGAUGAAAGCAGGGGAUCGCAAGACCUUGUGCUACUAGAGCGGCCGAUGGCAGAUUAGGUAGUUGGUGGGGGAAAAGCUUACCAAGCCGACGAUCUGUAGCUGGUCCGAGAGGACGAUCAGCCAGACUGGGACUGAGACACGGCCCAGACUCCUACGGGAGGCAGCAGUGGGGAAUUUUGGACAAUGGGCGCAAGCCUGAUUCAGCAAUGCCGCGUGCAGGAUGAAGGCCUUCGGGUUGUAAACUGCUUUUGUACGGAACGAAAAGCCCUGGGUUAAUACCCUGGGGUCAUGACGGUACCGUAAGAAUAAGCACCGGCUAACUACGUGCCAGCAGCCGCUGUAA
RNAcentral lists this ribosomal RNA (498 nucleotides) under uncultured bacterium. Its description in RNAcentral is "partial 16S ribosomal RNA". It matches the Rfam family "Bacterial small subunit ribosomal RNA", at positions 30 to 523 of the family's 1533-position model. The record is from RNAcentral.